UAAGGAAUUGACGCAGGACGAGGCCCUAGCCUACGUGGCCGGACACUGGCCCGGAAGCCCUUUCUCUUCUUAUUGGGCCUUUUCCCUUUUCUCCUUGUUUCUCCGCCUGUAUAACGCAUGUACCAUGUUGUUUAGAGGGAGAGGGUUUGGAUUCAAGACAGAGUCUAGUUGCCUGUCGCCUGCCUCUGUGGCUCGCCGGUGGGGAGGGCCUGUGUGGCUUCUCCAAAGGCCCCGUCGCCCCGGUUGGGUUGGUCGGAGGACCCCGCUGCUCGCGGUUAAGAGCCCUAUCGUCACCAUCACCUCCGCCGCUGCCGCCAUCACCGCCGCCGCUGCCGCUGCCUGCAUCCGCUGUUCGUCAUCGGAUCCAUCCGCUUGCUGUCGCCGCCGCCGUCGCCGCCGUUGUCUCCGCGCCGCUGCCGUCGUCGCCGUCAUCGCCGCCCUCGUCGCCGCCCUCACUCACCACUGCCGUCAUCAACCGACCUCGCCGUCCGCGUCCAUCCACCACUGCCCGCGUCUCUCCGCCGGCGAUAACCAUCGCCCACACCGUCCGCCGCCGAGCGCUCCCCCCCCGGUGCCCUUCGCCGUGGGCAUCAGUCGUCGUCACCCUCCAUUGCCCGUCGCCGCUCCCGCCGUAACCGCCCUGUCGGUUCGCUGCCGUCGGGUCGGUAAUCCCCGAUUUAGGGCUCAAACGCCCUGAAUCGCGGAUCCGGUACGCGGGUUCCUUCGGGCCUGAUCUCUCUCACCGGACCGCCUCAUCCGGCCCCAGUCCUCGCCAGCUCGGGUCCCCGGACCCGUCCGGUGUGAGCCGCCGAUCGGCUGGGCCCGUGCCCAGAUCUUCAUCGCCCGCCUGAGCCAAGGUCCAACGAGUCGCCCACGACCUGGUCAACGGUCAACCACUCGGUCAACAGUUAUUUUGGGUCAACGAUCAACUAUCACUCCCAUGGCCCCAAACCUCUUUGUAGAUCAUUGGACACCGUUGACCAGCCAUUGGAUGCUGACCUCUCAUCAUCCAAUGGUUACAAUUCACACACAUGGGAUAGAGAUUAUUCUCUCUCUCCCUAAGAGAGUCUCCCACUCUCGACUGUCGCAUUCACUCCCAUCACCACUAUCACCUUUGUCUUCUUUUUGUCAAUGAGACCAACUUCGUCAUUGUUGGGUUCACCACCACUAGCUUCAUCACGAAUCUACUACCAUCAACUUCACUAUCACUAUCUCUUUGUCCUCCCACUCUCAAAGAUAGAUAAUGUUGCUGCCAACUUUACCACUGCUGCCUCUCUCUUUCUCUCCCCCUCUAUCUCUCACUCACUCACUCACUCACUCACUCACUCACUCACUCUCUUUACUAUGUUGCCUAAUUUCAAGAACAUUUGAGGACAAUCUUUCUAGAGUAUUUUUAGUGGAGGUAAAAUUAAUUCAUAAAAUGUAUAAAUUUAUAAAUUCUUAUUUGUUAUUCUUAUUCAAUUCUUACUUAAUAUACUCAUUUAACAUUAGAUAUAAUAUUAAAUGCUGUUGUCAACAAAUAUUAAAGGUCAAUAUGACAACACAAUAUUUUAGUGAUAAUGAACACAUUGUGGAUAAUUAAUGAGGUAUGUAUUUAUAAUACAUUAUAUGUUUUGUGCUGAAUAUUUAUUGAUGGGGAUCAGGGUUCUUUUUUUGCAAAAUAUGUCCAC
Molecule: long non-coding RNA, 1670 nt
Filed under: Spirodela polyrhiza (greater duckweed)
Lineage: Eukaryota; Viridiplantae; Streptophyta; Magnoliopsida; Alismatales; Araceae
Description: long non-coding RNA (SPOL_LNC001964)
Source: RNAcentral